This 460-nucleotide ribosomal RNA is filed under the name uncultured bacterium. RNAcentral describes it as "partial 16S ribosomal RNA". It matches the Rfam family "Bacterial small subunit ribosomal RNA", at positions 338 to 795 of the family's 1533-position model. The record is from RNAcentral.
CCUACGGGAGGCAGCAGUGAGGAAUAUUGGUCAAUGGCCGUAAGGCUGAACCAGCCAAGUCGCGUGAAGGAAGAAGGAUCUAUGGUUUGUAAACUUCUUUUAUAGGGGAAUAAAGGUAUCCACGUGUGGAUAUUUGCAUGUACCCUAUGAAUAAGCAUCGGCUAACUCCGUGCCAGCAGCCGCGGUAAUACGGAGGAUGCGAGCGUUAUCCGGAUUUAUUGGGUUUAAAGGGUGCGUAGGUUGUUUUUUAAGUCAGCGGUGAAAGUUUGUGGCUCAACCAUAAAACUGCCGUUGAAACUGGAAGACUUGAGUGUGUUUGAGGUAGGCGGAAUGCGUGGUGUAGCGGUGAAAUGCAUAGAUAUCACGCAGAACUCCGAUUGCGAAGGCAGCUUACUAAGCCAUAACUGACACUGAGGCUCGAAAGUGUGGGUAUCAAACAGGAUUAGAUACCCGAGUAGUC